AACGAACGCUGGCGGCAUGCCUAACACAUGCAAGUCGAACGAAGGCUUCGGCCUUAGUGGCGCACGGGUGCGUAACGCGUGGGAAUCUGCCCUUUGGUUCGGAAUAACAGCUGGAAACGGCUGCUAAUACCGGAUGAUGACGAAAGUCCAAAGAUUUAUCGCCAGAGGAUGAGCCCGCGUUGGAUUAGGUAGUUGGUGGGGUAAAGGCCUACCAAGCCGACGAUCCAUAGCUGGUCUGAGAGGAUGAUCAGCCACACUGGGACUGAGACACGGCCCAGACUCCUACGGGAGGCAGCAGUGGGGAAUAUUGGACAAUGGGCGCAAGCCUGAUCCAGCAAUGCUGCGUGAGUGAUGAAGGCCCUAGGGUUGUAAAGCUCUUUUACCCGGGAAGAUAAUGACUGUACCGGGAGAAUAAGCCCCGGCUAACUCCGUG
RNAcentral lists this ribosomal RNA (433 nucleotides) under uncultured bacterium. RNAcentral's name for it is "partial 16S ribosomal RNA". It matches the Rfam family "Bacterial small subunit ribosomal RNA", at positions 29 to 507 of the family's 1533-position model. The record is from RNAcentral.